AUGCGUGUUGGGUCGAGAUGCACAGCACCGGAUUGCGUAGCAAAGGCUUACACAGACGUUUCAUUCCGUCCGCUACCGGUGCCUGAUUCCUCCUCCCUUAAGCAUUGCUGCUGUGUUACAGCAAGCAGGAGACGUCGUCGCGACGCCGGCCCAACUGGCCUCACAUCGCUGGACACUGGAGUGCCUGACAAGCCCUCCUGACGCACCUGACACCGACUGCGAGAGUCGUGUGUGCCGAACGCCGUUUCCGGAUGCCACGGAAACCGA
RNAcentral lists this non-coding RNA (267 nucleotides) under Pseudomonas saudiphocaensis. RNAcentral describes it as "rne-II". It matches the Rfam family "rne-II RNA". The record is from RNAcentral. Lineage: Bacteria; Pseudomonadati; Pseudomonadota; Gammaproteobacteria; Pseudomonadales; Pseudomonadaceae.